RNAcentral lists this transfer RNA (73 nucleotides) under Daphnia pulex (common water flea). It matches the Rfam family "tRNA". From Rfam's summary of the family: Transfer RNA (tRNA) molecules are approximately 80 nucleotides in length. Lineage: Eukaryota; Metazoa; Arthropoda; Branchiopoda; Diplostraca; Daphniidae. The record is from Rfam by way of RNAcentral.
GCCCGGUUAGCUCAGAUGGUAGAGCGCGGGAAUCUUCAUCCUGAGGUCGAGGUUUCAAGUCCCUCAUCGGGCG